GGGAUAUCCCAGAAGAGCACCUGGCCAGUAGCUCUUUCUUCCCUGACAAAUACUUCACCUGCUCCAGUAUCUGUCUCAGCUGUGGGUCUGGCUGUGUGAACAGUAUGAACCAUCUGAAAGAGGAAGUGGAUCACGAGGCUAAACACCGCUGUCGCUACACUGCUCAAUACGACAACCGCAUCUACACCUGUAAAGCGUGUUAUGAGGGAGGGAAGGAGGUGAUUGUGAUUCCCAAGACGACAGCCUCCUCUGACUCUCCCUGGUUUGGUCUGGCCACGUACGCCUGGUCUGGGUGAGUCCUGAACACGUAGAACUCCUCAUUAUAAUAUCCUGUUCUGAUGUCACAGUGAGUAUAUACAGUGCCUUGCGAAAGUAUUCGGCCCCCUUGAACUUUGCGACCUUUUGCCACAUUUCAGGCUUCAAACAUAAAGAUAUAAAACUGUAUUUGU
Long non-coding RNA from Oncorhynchus masou masou (cherry salmon), 449 nucleotides. RefSeq lists it as uncharacterized. Lineage: Eukaryota; Metazoa; Chordata; Actinopteri; Salmoniformes; Salmonidae. The transcript is spliced from 3 exons. The record is from RefSeq and is a predicted model, not a curated record.